Molecule: ribosomal RNA, 1201 nt
Filed under: metagenome
Description: bacterial SSU rRNA
Rfam family: Bacterial small subunit ribosomal RNA
Source: RNAcentral
GACUGAGACACGGCCCAGACUCCUACGGGAGGCAGCAGUGGGGAAUUUUGGACAAUGGGCGAAAGCCUGAUCCAGCAAUGCCGCGUGUGUGAAGAAGGCCUUCGGGUUGUAAAGCACUUUUGUCCGGAAAGAAAACGUUCUCAUUAAUACUGGGGGCGGAUGACGGUACCGGAAGAAUAAGCACCGGCUAACUACGUGCCAGCAGCCGCGGUAAUACGUAGGGCGCAAGCGUUGUCCGGAAUUAUUGGGCGUAAAGAGCUCGUAGGUGGCUGGUCACGUCUGCCGUGAAAGCCCGCAGCUUAACUGCGGGUCUGCGGUGGAUACGGGUCGGCUAGAGGUAGGUAGGGGCAAGUGGAAUUCCUGGUGUAGCGGUGAAAUGCGCAGAUAUCAGGAGGAACACCGGUGGCGAAGGCGGCUUGCUGGGCCUUACCUGACGCUGAGGAGCGAAAGCGUGGGGAGCGAACAGGAUUAGAUACCCUGGUAGUCCACGCUGUAAACGUUGGGCGCUAGGUGUGGGGAUCUUCCACGAUCUCCGUGCCGGAGCUAACGCAUUAAGCGCCCCGCCUGGGGAGUACGGCCGCAAGGCUAAAACUCAAAGGAAUUGACGGGGGCCCGCACAAGCGGCGGAGCAUGUUGCUUAAUUCGACGCAACGCGAAGAACCUUACCAAGGUUUGACAUCACCCGGAAACGCUCAGAGAUGGGCGCCUCUUCGGACUGGGUGACAGGUGGUGCAUGGCUGUCGUCAGCUCGUGUCGUGAGAUGUUGGGUUAAGUCCCGCAACGAGCCAACCCUUGUUCCAUGUUGCCAGCACGCUCCUUCGGGGGUGGUGGGGACUCAUGGGAGACUGCCGGGGUCAACUCGGAGGAAGGUGGGGAUGACGUCAAGUCAUCAUGCCCCUUAUGUCUUGGGCUGCAAACAUGCUACAAUGGCCGGUACAGAGGGCUGCUAAACCGUGAGGUGGAGCGAAUCCCUAAAAGCCGGUCUCAGUUCGGAUUGGGGUCCGCAACUCGACCCCAUGAAGUCGGAGUCGCUAGUAAUCGCAGAUCAGCAACGCUGCGGUGAAUACGUUCCCGGGCCUUGUACACACCGCCCGUCACGUCACGAAAGUCGGCAACACCCGAAGCCCGUGGCCCAACCACCUUGUGUGGGGGGAGCGGUCGAAGGUGGGGCUGGCGAUUGGGACGAAGUCGUAACAAGGUA